CGCCUCGUGACUGGAGAGGGCCUCAUACAUAUUCUUGACGGUCUCGACGCAAAGCCUAUUCCUUGAACCCGUCCAUGUGAGCGGUGCCCCUCAACUGCGAAUAUCUGCUACCGCUUGCAGGAGCGCCUCGACUGAAGGGGUUGCCCGCUGCUUACAGUGGUUUGCGCGCAUCAUCACCCCGGCUCAAACGUGCGCUGAGCUCGGAUUCGUCGACCUGGACAGCUACCUCGUCCACUCGUCGAGCCUGGCACCUUCACUGGCAUCUUCACCUCUUACAGGCAUCCUUGACAACCGUCUCAAUCGCCUGAGAAGCAUCGUCUUGAGUGCAUGAUCCCCCCUCCCGCCAAAAACGAAAAGAAAAAACACCACGAUACCCUGACAAACGGGCGGAAAGUCUACUCCGGAAACGGGAGCAGAUUGUCGUAAGAGAUCCGCUACGACGACGUCAGCACUCGACAUUGCUCUUGCUGUCAUUCUCUUCGUCUCUCGUCUCUUCUUGUGCAGUGCUUUCUUGCACUGUUUGGUUCUGCCCUCGAUCGUCUGUUUCACCUUCGGUCCUGUGCUACAGGCGGCAGCAAACAACGGCGCCCGCUGUCCUCACCUGAUCAGCAAGGAAACGGUAACCCUGCUUCCCCUCCAAGCAAGGGAAAACAUGGUGUAAACAGCGGUGCGCUGUGGGGCCCCCGUCUCUGAGUCUUUACAGCUGCCAGUGGGCUCUUGCACGCUGUUUUCUGCGUUCCCAGUAUCUGACCAGGACCGUUUCACCCCCUGAGAAGAACGUGGCAGUGGCUCACGGUGCACGAUCCCGGGUGCAAGCCGCUCGCUACUUGCUUCGUAUCUGCAUGCGUUGCGUAUGAACGAGUGCUCCGCUUCCAAGAUUUACCUCCUGCGAAGGAGGUGGUGUGCUACCGGUGGCCAGCUUGUAGCCCGCUUGCAACUGACGAACCAUACUGCCGCAUGAAGGGCCCUCUUUGAAUGAGGACGCUGCGGUGGCCCUGCGUACCGGUGUGGCGGUGUCUGUGGGGAAGCUGUGUGGCACUUGGCUGUGGCCUUUUCCUUCGUGAGGGCCUUCGUCGUAUGCUCUCCAUUCUCAGGGGAUGCAAAAUAUCUCUUUUGCGCAGGGACAAACGCUCUUCUUCACCCUUCAGUGCUCGUCCCUCGCCCUCUUUUCUUCCGCUCACUCGUCUGCUGCCUUCUCAAACGCCAGCCUUUGCAGCAGCGCUGAACCGCCUUGGUCGUGGUUCUCAGUGGCUUUGCGCGCCCCGUCUCCGUAGCGGGGCGACCACGAGAGAGAGGUUGCUGCGUCUGUGCAGGCGCCGGGGCGCGCAGCUCGUUGAAGGAGGGGGAGGGACGCCUAC
RNAcentral lists this unclassified non-coding RNA (1358 nucleotides) under Leishmania donovani. RNAcentral's name for it is "gene:unknown". Lineage: Eukaryota; Euglenozoa; Kinetoplastea; Trypanosomatida; Trypanosomatidae. The record is from RNAcentral.